UUCAUCUCUAAUAUGUAUCCAAAUAAGUUACCUGAAUCGCAAUGUACGCAUUAAGAAGAGCCAUCGCAAGGUUAUAUGGUACAAGUGCCCAUGUUUUGGUGAAUCGACCAAGAGCCAUCCUCUCGUUCUUUCAUCUACGAUCACAUUGGGCAAUGACAGAGAGUUGCUGUGGAAUUAAUUAUGCCCGCCAUUGCCUGCAACAAAGUCGAAAUAAGGAUUGUUAGUUUUGGAAUCAAGAUUUCUUCAAACUAGCGAGCAGGAAAUUCAUAAUACAUUCUUUACACUUCGUGUAUACCACCCGUGGAAUAUUUUCAACAGAAGAAAUUGGAAACGGUCUAAAAUGUAUUCCAUGAUAGUAGACACCAGGGACAUUCGUGAGUCUUAUCUUUUACCGCAAACAAUUAUGUAUUUCAUCGUUAAGAACACGCAACUUUCUGCACACGCUAUAUAGGCAUACAUAUUCUACGCAUUCAAUAUUCAGUUACUAAUAAAAUAAAAAAUAAGCAUAUAACCUGUUAUCUCAGAUCAGUCUUCUAAUUAAUAUGAAAUUGGAAAGGCAAUUUUUUUUUCUUCGAUUCGUUAUCAAUUAAAUCGACAUUCUUAUCAUCGAACAGAUAUCGAAAUAAAAAAAUGUAGAUCGAUAACAGUUGUAUACGUGACGUUGAUAAAAAACGGAGAAGUCACGUUACGCUAUCUAAACGAACAAAAUACGUUUCUAGCAAUGUCAAUGUCAACGUAUGUGUCAAUGCAGUAAUUUACCCGGUGUUUUUCUUCAAUUAAACUCAUGACUGAGGGAUCGGAUGCUGGCUGGCACUUUCUUCUCUAUAUGCAUGGUUCACCUCGAUCACCUCACUUUCGAGGUCAAUGUCUAGACUCCGGGAGAUCAGAAAUGGUAUUCUGACAUUUUGCAUCAACACUUUCUUUAAUCGUCAUUUAUAUUUGUUUCAUCAUGCUUCACAUCUUAAUAACUUUAUAUUUAAUUUAAUAAUAGGACUCUUGUUGUAGGAACCUUCAAACAAAUUCCAAUGCAAAUCACUGCUGUGUGAAAGCAUAAUUUUUAAUCUUUGCCCACGGCAAUAUAACGAGAGUUUAAAAUAAACUUAUUACUACUUCGCUUAAAUUCAUACUUUCGAUCAAUAAAUCAGUAGAAACUGAUUACCAUAUUCUUCAAAUCGAGUGUCAAAUCUUUUAUUCAUGCAUUUAUAUUUUUUGCAAACGAUUCUUUUGAGAUGCACGAAUGUAUAAAUAAAUUUAUAUUAACGUUGAACGAUAUUCUCGUGUUAUGUCGUAUUUCAGAACUGUCAUAAUAAAUUUAUUUAUUGCAACAAGUACAAAAAGAAAGACAGCUUUCUAAUUACGACUUUCUUGUUUUGUAAUCAGAAUUAAUGAAUAAAAUUCACAGCGAUCAAUUUCUAAAUAUUUAGUAAUCAAUCUUGUAACCGAUCGAUUGUUAUGCUUUUACGGUUUCUUUCGUACAGUCUUGAUUUUCGUUCUUUUCCCUGCGCGAUUUCUCUGCAUCCCGGUGUAACAGUCGCCGAAGAAGCAGCGAAAGUGAAAUCUUAAAUGCAAGUAUAGCAUGCAGAGCACGUGCAUCUGGAUCGUAAUUCCACUUUGUUUACUAUCGAGACUGUAAUAUUCUAUAAAUAACGUUUAAAGAUAAUUGAAGGGUGAGAAAAAAUAACUUUCAACGAGCGAAGAAAAUGACAUAUUAGACUGCUGACGAUAAAAUGGCUGAAUUAUUCAGCAAACUUUCGACUACAACUUUCCUGAAAAUAUUCACCGAUCAAAUCGGCAUUCUUACAGCUGUGAGUUGUUUAAAAUCGAGGAAGAAUGUUAAAAUUAAUUUUUAUAAAAAUUAUUUACGUUGGUAUACGAAGUUAAAAAAA
RNAcentral lists this long non-coding RNA (1886 nucleotides) under Megachile rotundata (alfalfa leafcutting bee). RNAcentral's name for it is "uncharacterized LOC105662498". The record is from RNAcentral. Lineage: Eukaryota; Metazoa; Arthropoda; Insecta; Hymenoptera; Megachilidae.